RNAcentral lists this ribosomal RNA (253 nucleotides) under uncultured bacterium. RNAcentral's name for it is "partial 16S ribosomal RNA". It matches the Rfam family "Bacterial small subunit ribosomal RNA", at positions 524 to 776 of the family's 1533-position model. The record is from RNAcentral.
UACGUAGGGGGCAAGCGUUGUCCGGAUUCAUUGGGCGUAAAGAGCGUGUAGGCGGCCAGGUAGGUCGGUUGUGAAAACUGGAGGCUCAACCUUCAGACGUCGACCGAAACCAUCUGGCUAGAGUCCGGGAGAGGAGGGUGGAAUUCCUGGUGUAGCGGUGAAAUGCGCAGAUAUCAGGAAGAACACCCGUGGCGAAAGCGGCUCUCUGGAACGGUACUGACGCUGAGACGCGAAAGCGUGGGGAGCGAACAGG